This 468-nucleotide ribosomal RNA is filed under the name uncultured bacterium. Its description in RNAcentral is "partial 16S ribosomal RNA". It matches the Rfam family "Bacterial small subunit ribosomal RNA", at positions 28 to 507 of the family's 1533-position model. The record is from RNAcentral.
GACGAACGCUGGCGGCGUGCUUAACACAUGCAAGUCGAACGGAAAGGCCCUGCUUUUGUGGGGUGCUCGAGUGGCGAACGGGUGAGUAACACGUGAGUAACCUGCCCUUGACUUUGGGAUAACUUCAGGAAACUGGGGCUAAUACCGGAUAGGAGCUCCUGCUGCAUGGUGGGGGUUGGAAAGUUUCGGCGGUUGGGGAUGGACUCGCGGCUUAUCAGCUUGUUGGUGGGGUAGUGGCUUACCAAGGCUUUGACGGGUAGCCGGCCUGAGAGGGUGACCGGCCACAUGAGGACUGAGGUACGGCCCAGACUCCUACGGGAGGCAGCAGUGGGGAAUAUUGCACAAUGGGCGGAAGCCUGAUGCAGCAACGCCGCGUGCGGGAUGACGGCCUUCGGGUUGUAAACCGCUUUCGCCUGUGACGAAGCGUGAGUGACGGUAAUGGGUAAAGAAGCACCGGCUAACUACGUG